GACGAACGCUGGCGGCGUGCUUAACACAUGCAAGUCGAACGGAAAGGCCCUGCUUGCAGGGUACUCGAGUGGCGAACGGGUGAGUAACACGUGGGUGAUCUGCCCUGCACUUCGGGAUAAGCCUGGGAAACUGGGUCUAAUACCGGAUAGGAGCCAUUUUGAGUGUGAUGGUUGGAAAGUUUUUUCGGUGUAGGAUGAGCUCGCGGCCUAUCAGCUUGUUGGUGGGGUAAUGGCCUACCAAGGCGGCGACGGGUAGCCGGCCUGAGAGGGUGGACGGCCACAUUGGGACUGAGAUACGGCCCAGACUCCUACGGGGGGCAGAAGUGGGGAAUAUUGCACAAUGGGCGCAAGCCUGAUGCAGCGACGCCGCGUGGGGGAUGACGGCCUUCGGGUUGUAGACUCCUUUCGCUAGGGACGAAGCUUUUUGUGACGGUACCUAGAUAAGAAGCACCGGCUAACUACGUG
Molecule: ribosomal RNA, 465 nt
Filed under: uncultured bacterium
Lineage: Bacteria
Description: partial 16S ribosomal RNA
Rfam family: Bacterial small subunit ribosomal RNA
Source: RNAcentral